ACCUUGUCCAAGUCCGAUUUCUUCUCCGUGGACUCUGGAUGUUUCUCGAGGAUGUGCAGCAUGGCGUCGUGCAGCGUCAGGAAGAACAUCGACGACUGAACCUCAUCAUCAAAGAAGCAACAGUCGUGCAGUUUCUUCAGGAUGUAAGCUACAGGUGAUGAGAAGAGAGCAGAGAUGUCUAGAAAAGAGACAGCAGCAAAGUCCAGGACCAGGCUGUGGAGGUCCACUCUGGGAACAACGAUGUUGGCGGGUAGCUCGGCACUCCAGUCGAUCCGGACAGGAAGGUCCUUGAAGUCAGUGGGCAGGUCCAGCUCCUCCAUGUUGCUCUGAUCCUCUGACUCCUUGAUGAAUCCACCUGAGGUAUUCAGGAAGCCUCUCUGUAAUGACUUUCUGGAAGUUCGUGUAAAAUUUGCACUACAUUUGGAUGGAAACUUGGCUUAUAUCUGAUGGGAAGCUGUUGAGGGAUUCUGAAGGAACCUUGUAGUGCCGCUAAGGAUUACUGCUUCCACCAGCUUGCUCCUGAAGAACUCGAUGUUGGCAAAGAAGAUUGGUGAUGGUAUCCUGAAGAUCUUGACUCCCUCUGUCUCAUAUAUCUGGAGAGAGUCAUUCACUUUACACCCUAGUUAUAGCCCAAAUCACGGUAAAGCAUAACAGUAGUGAACGAGCAAAGGCUCUGACACAGCAACCCGACGGCCGACCCUCGGCAGAAAAGGCAGUCGGACUGAUCAUGUGGAUCCCGUCUCCCCGAGGUCCAAAAAGUGCCUCGGAACACACCGAAGCAACGCCAACUUGAGCGUAUGUUCUGCGCAUGCACGAGACGCAAUACGUCUCCAUAACAGCAGCCGGCGCUAAUCUGUA
Molecule: long non-coding RNA, 858 nt
Organism: Perca flavescens (yellow perch)
Lineage: Eukaryota; Metazoa; Chordata; Actinopteri; Perciformes; Percidae
Exons: 4
Source: RefSeq, a predicted model, not a curated record